AGAAAGUAAAGCACAGAUCCAGGAAAGACAGAGAACAUCAAGCAGGAUAAAUACCAAAAUAAAACAAACUCCUACACCUAGGUAUAUUAUAUUCAAAUUGCAGAGAAACAAAGACAAAGAGAAAACAUAGAAAGAAGCCAGAGGGAAAAAACACCUUAUCUAUAGAGGAACAAAGACAAAAACUACAGUGGCCUUCUCAUCAGAAACCAUGCAAGCAAGAAGAGAGGGGUGUGAAAUAUUUAACAUGUUGAAAGAAAAAAAUCCACCAAGCUAGAAUUCUAUACACAGCAAAAUUACUUCAAAACUGGAGAAAUAAAGCCUUUAUCAAACCAACAAAAUCUGAGAUAAUUUAUCACCAGCAGACAUACUCUGCAAGAAAUUUUAAAAGAAGUUUUUCAGGUAGAAGGAAAAUUAAGUGGAUCAGAGACACGAUCUUCAAAAAGAAGGGGAGAAGGAGAAAGUGUGUCAGAGAAGAAACAAAUGAAGUUCCACAGCUAAAGCACUGAUGGAACCUUGCUGGGUCACUUGGUUCAGUUUCCUGCCGCUAGGCUGUACUUAAUUUCAACUAUCCUGGGACAUUAUGCUUCUUCUAUAUGCAAAAGAAUUGGUUAUUCCAACAACACUUUGGACAGAAGUUUUCCAUAGAAUGUGAAACAUGC
This 659-nucleotide long non-coding RNA is filed under the name Equus asinus (donkey). RNAcentral describes it as "lncRNA (ENSEASG00005027086.1)". Lineage: Eukaryota; Metazoa; Chordata; Mammalia; Perissodactyla; Equidae. The record is from RNAcentral.